RNAcentral lists this ribosomal RNA (272 nucleotides) under Escherichia coli. RNAcentral describes it as "partial 16S ribosomal RNA". It matches the Rfam family "Bacterial small subunit ribosomal RNA", at positions 1 to 269 of the family's 1533-position model. The record is from RNAcentral. Lineage: Bacteria; Pseudomonadati; Pseudomonadota; Gammaproteobacteria; Enterobacterales; Enterobacteriaceae.
AAAUUGAAGAGUUUGAUCAUGGCUCAGAUUGAACGCUGGUGGCAGGCCUAACACAUGCAAGUCGAACGGUAACAGGAAACAGCUUGCUGUUUCGCUGACGAGUGGCGGACGGGUGAGUAAUGUCUGGGAAACUGCCUGAUGGAGGGGGAUAACUACUGGAAACGGUAGCUAAUACCGCAUAACGUCGCAAGACCAAAGAGGGGGACCCUCGGGCCUCUUGCCAUCGGAUGUGCCCAGAUGGGAUUAGCUUGUUGGUGGGGUAACGGCUCACC